GAUGAACGCUGGCGGUAUGCUUAACACAUGCAAGUCGAACGGUCACUUCGGUGAUAGUGGCGGACGGGUGGGUAACGCGUGAGAAUCUGUCUUCAGGUCGGGGACAACAGUUAGAAAUGACUGCUAAUACCGGAUGUGCCUUUGGGUGAAAGAUUUAUUGCCUGAAAAAGAGCUCGCGUCAGAUUAGCUAGUAGGUGGUGUAAGAGACUACCUAGGCUCCGAUCUGUAGCUGGUCUGAGAGGACGAUCAGCCACACUGGGACUGAGACACGGUCCAGACUCCUACGGGAGGCAGCAGUGGGGAAUUUUCCGCAAUGGGCGAAAGCCUGACGGAGCAAUACCGCGUGAGGGACGAAGGCUUUUGGGUCGUAAACCUCUUUUCUCAAGGAAGAUGAUGACGGUACUUGAGGAAUAAGCAUCGGCUAACUCUGUG
Molecule: ribosomal RNA, 432 nt
Filed under: uncultured bacterium
Lineage: Bacteria
Description: partial 16S ribosomal RNA
Rfam family: Bacterial small subunit ribosomal RNA
Source: RNAcentral